Long non-coding RNA from Sinocyclocheilus anshuiensis, 448 nucleotides. RefSeq lists it as uncharacterized. Lineage: Eukaryota; Metazoa; Chordata; Actinopteri; Cypriniformes; Cyprinidae. The transcript is spliced from 3 exons. The record is from RefSeq and is a predicted model, not a curated record.
UUUUGUCCUGCAGACACUACAUUCGACAUAAUGGUUUGUUUGCGGGUGAAAUUAGUAAGCUGUCUCUUUACAUUUCCUGAUAGCUGUAGCAGUCAGAGAGCAGGUCUUUCUGCACUCAGGGCAGCUGUACCCUGUCUCUUCUUGUUGAUCCCAGUACUGCCUGAUGGAGGCCGUCCACAGAGUCUUCAGAGCUGAGCGAAUCUCCAGCAUCUGUUAUAUUAGGACAGAUUCAAAAAAGAAAGGUACUCCUUCAAUCCCAUGAGCCACCAGUGCCUCACACAAGCGAGUAAGGUUUCAUGUGACGUCACACAGUAGUGUGGCCGCCAUUUGUAGGACCGAAUUGCAAUUCCGUCAAGCUGCUGUGCUGUGCUCUGGGCUGUGAUAACAGCAAAUCACAAUGGAUUAUUUACCAAGAGAUAUGGAUGUAUGAGAUUCUUUUGAUUAAAUA